This 372-nucleotide unclassified non-coding RNA is filed under the name uncultured Pseudomonadota bacterium. Its description in RNAcentral is "uncultured proteobacterium contains 16S-23S intergenic spacer region". The record is from RNAcentral. Lineage: Bacteria; Pseudomonadati; Pseudomonadota.
UCUCGGCUUAUCACCGGCAGUCCCCCUAGAGUGCCCAACUGAAUGAUGGCAACUAAGGGCGAGGGUUGCGCUCGUUGCGGGACUUAACCCAACAUCUCACGACACGAGCUGACGACAGCCAUGCACCACCUGUCACCGGCCCCGAAGGACCUCCCAUCUCUUCGGGGUUCCUGGGAUGUCAAGGCCAGGUAAGGUUCUUCGCGUUGCAUCGAAUUAAACCACAUGCUCCACCGCUUGUGCGGGUCCCCGUCAAUUCCUUUGAGUUUUAAUCUUGCGACCGUACUCCCCAGGCGGAAUGCUUAAUGCGUUAGCUGCGACACUGACGAGCAUGCUCGCCAACGUCUAGCAUUCAUCGUUUACGGCGUGGACUAC